CGUGACGUCAUAAAAGCGACAAACCCUAAAGUCGCUGCACGCUUCGAUUCUUUCCUGUGCAAACAGGUGGCAGUAGCCUACAAACGAUCAUUAGAUUGGUGGUGUCACCUGAUGGGAUCGAGUUUCGUUUUGUCAGUCAGUCAGUCAGAAGUGCAAGUGGCAUUAAAUCGAAGCACGUCACCGAAAGACAAAGGGAGAGCGAAAAACUGUUAUUUCCUGUAACAUCUAGAUGAAUCUGACAGAGGAGACAUGGCAGGCUGACAAGAAUCCCAUGGAGAAUUUGACAGUAAAUAUUAAGGAGGAGGAGGAUAUUGAAUGGGAAGCUGUCCAGCUUGAACAGCAGAGUCUCAGCAUUAAAGAGGAGGAUUAUGAGGUGGAGUCGGUAAUCAUCAAAGAGGAGCCUGAGGAGAUGCCUUUCAGCAUUGGCAUGGAGAAACAUGAGGUGAUAUACAGUGUAAAUGAAGGUGACCUUCAUUCAGAGUCUGUCAGAGUUGAGUUGCCAGCCCAAGCAUUCAACAAGCGCUAAAGGCCCGAUCAAAGGAAAUUCCCGUAGAGAUCAGAAAACAAGUUGUUGCUACCUAUCAGUCUGGAAAGGGCUACAAAGCCACCUCUAAGGCUCUGGGACUACACCGAACCACCGUGAGAGCCAUAAUCUCCAAAUGGAAAAAACUUGGCACAGUAGUGAAUCUUCCCAGGAGUGGCCGGCCUUCCAAAAUCAGUACGAGGGUACAGCAUAAAUUCAUCCAGGAAGUCACAAAUUCCAAGGAACUGCAGCCUUCUGUUGCGUCUGCAAAGGACAAUAUUCAUGACUCCAUAAUCAAUAACAGACAGGGCAAAAGUGGGCUUCAUUAGAAAGUACUAGGCAGAAACAACUGCUGGCCAACAAGAACAUACUCUAAUUGCUUGUGUCUCUUUCACCUGAAAGGACGUGGAUGAUCCCCAAGCCUCUUGGAGGAAUAUUCCACGGACAGAUGAGACAAAAGUGUGUACCAUUGCAUGCGGCUUAAACUAAAACAACUUAACAGCGUUACAUGUAUAGUAAGAACAUCAUGCCUACGAUAACACAUGGGAAUGGUAGUGUAAUGGUAUGGGGAUGCUUUUCUGUCUCUGGACUCGCCAUAAUUGAAGGACCAUGAAGGCUGCUCUGCAUGCAGGAGAAUUUCUUAAGGGGAGUGUCUGUUCAUUUGUCCAUGAGCUGAAGCAGAUUGAGAUGAUGCAGUAAGACGAUGUUCCUGUACAAAAAAAGCAAAUUCAUACCAGACGGGCCAAAAAUAAGAAAAAAAGCAAAAGUUUUGGAUGGGCCAAGUCAUAGCACAGACCAGUCUGCAAUAGACGUGCUGAAGCAGGACCAGAAAAUAUAGCUUCUUAUGAUCAAAAGCCUACUUGCGUUUUUGAAUGAAAACAAAGGAAGAGAGAGCUAAAGUUCCUCCGUAAUGAUGAAAGUCUGACAAAGUCUUUGUAACUGAAGGCGGCACAGCCAGCUUAGUGUAAAGGGGCAAUUACUUUUUCACAGCCCAGCCACUGGCGUUGCAUGCCUUUAUUCUUUCAAUAAAUGACGUAAGAUGUU
Polypterus senegalus (gray bichir) is the source of this 1567-nucleotide long non-coding RNA. RefSeq lists it as uncharacterized. NCBI's taxonomy places the organism in Eukaryota, Metazoa, Chordata, Cladistia, Polypteriformes, Polypteridae. The record is from RefSeq and is a predicted model, not a curated record. The transcript is spliced from 2 exons.